AACGAACGCUGGCGGCAUGCCUAACACAUGCAAGUCGAACGAGACCUUCGGGUCUAGUGGCGCACGGGUGCGUAACGCGUGGGAACCUUCCCUUAGGUUCGGAAUAACUCCCCGAAAGGGGUGCUAAUACCGGAUAAUGUCUUCGGACCAAAGAUUUAUCGCCUUUGGAUGGGCCCGCGUUGGAUUAGCUUGUUGGUAGGGUAAAAGCCUACCAAGGCGACGAUCCAUAGCUGGUCUGAGAGGAUGAUCAGCCACACUGGGACUGAGACACGGCCCAGACUCCUACGGGAGGCAGCAGUGGGGAAUAUUGGAAAAUGGGCGAAAGCCUGAGACAGCAAUGCCGCGUGAGAGAUGAAGGCCUUAGGGUUGUAAAGCUCUUUUAACCGGGAUGAUAAUGACAGUACCGGGAGAAUAAGCGCCGGCUAACUACGUG
RNAcentral lists this ribosomal RNA (433 nucleotides) under uncultured bacterium. RNAcentral's name for it is "partial 16S ribosomal RNA". It matches the Rfam family "Bacterial small subunit ribosomal RNA", at positions 29 to 507 of the family's 1533-position model. The record is from RNAcentral.